AGCUCCAAUAGCGUAUAUUAAAGUUGCUGCAGUUAAAAAGCUCGUAGUUGGAUCUCGGGGUACCUGGUCUAGCCGGUAUAGCUCACGCUAAAACUGGUCUGACCCCCCAACGUGAGGUAUUCGUCUCCGGGUGCACUUCAUUGGGUGCUCGUGAGGGGCCUCGUAGUUACUGUGAAAAAAUUAGAGUGUUCAAAGCAGGCUCAUAUGUUCGGAUAGUCGUGCAUGGAAUAACUGAAUACGGGACUGGCGCUUUCCAGUGGGUCUCGGGGACGGGUAAAAUGAUUAAGAGGGCCGGCCGGGGCAUUGGUAUGGCGGGGUUAGAGGUGAAAUUCUUGGAUCCUCGCCAGACCAACAAAAGCGAAAGCAUUUGCCAAGAAUGUCUUCA
Molecule: ribosomal RNA, 385 nt
Filed under: marine Metazoa environmental sample
Lineage: Eukaryota; Metazoa
Description: SSU rRNA
Rfam family: Eukaryotic small subunit ribosomal RNA
Source: RNAcentral